Molecule: unclassified non-coding RNA, 269 nt
Filed under: plant metagenome
Description: partial contains small subunit ribosomal RNA, internal transcribed spacer 1, and 5.8S ribosomal RNA
Source: RNAcentral
UUUCCGUAGGUGAACCUGCGGAAGGAUCAUUAAUGAGUUGUCAUGGGGUUCGAUGCUGGCAGCCAAUUUUUGGAUGCAUGUGCUUGCCCCAACAAUCAUCUUCCAAACACCUGUGCACAUUUUUGAGGGAGUCUUGAGUUGGUUGCCGCUCUUGGGUGAUUUUCUCACAUUCCCUUAAAUCAUUAUACGCUAUUAACAAUGUUGAACGUGCUCUGUGCCGCAAGGCUAUUAAUAUAAUACAACUUUUAACAACGGAUCUCUUGGCUCUC